RNAcentral lists this unclassified non-coding RNA (250 nucleotides) under Hevea brasiliensis (rubber tree). Lineage: Eukaryota; Viridiplantae; Streptophyta; Magnoliopsida; Malpighiales; Euphorbiaceae. The record is from RNAcentral.
AAAAAAAAAAAAAAGAAUGCAAAAAUUAAAAAGGCUUGAUAUAUAUUUAUAUUAAAAUAGAUAUCAAUAGUAUGAUAAAAAAAAAAUUCAGUUAAUUUGAUUCCUUAGCGAAGCUGAAGUUUUUCAUUGGGUUCAUCAACCUCAUUAAGCAGAAAAAUAAUCAUUAUCAGAACUACUUAUUUCUAUCAGCUUCCUCUUCUUCCUCAAUGAUGCUGAACGUGUCGCUAGACUUGAUUCAUUAACCUCAUUA